CGAAGGGGGCUAGCGUUGCUCGGAAUCACUGGGCGUAAAGGGUGCGUAGGCGGGUCUUUAAGUCAGGGGUGAAAUCCUGGAGCUCAACUCCAGAACUGCCUUUGAUACUGAGGAUCUUGAGUUCGGGAGAGGUGAGUGGAACUGCGAGUGUAGAGGUGAAAUUCGUAGAUAUUCGCAAGAACACCAGUGGCGAAGGCGGCUCACUGGCCCGAUACUGACGCUGAGGCACGAAAGCGUGGGAGCAAACAGGAUUAGAUACCCUGGUAGUCCACGCCGUAAACGAUGAAUGCCAGCCGUUAGUGGGUUUACUCACUAGUGGCGCAGCUAACGCUUUAAGCAUUCCGCCUGGGGAGUACGGUCGCAAGAUUA
This 369-nucleotide ribosomal RNA is filed under the name uncultured organism. RNAcentral's name for it is "bacterial SSU rRNA". It matches the Rfam family "Bacterial small subunit ribosomal RNA", at positions 526 to 896 of the family's 1533-position model. The record is from RNAcentral.